Molecule: long non-coding RNA, 1986 nt
Organism: Magallana angulata
Lineage: Eukaryota; Metazoa; Mollusca; Bivalvia; Ostreida; Ostreidae
Exons: 2
Source: RefSeq, a predicted model, not a curated record
UUGGUUUAAAAAAUAGUGCAAAAUUCACACUGAGAGUAACUUCUACUGAAAAAAAUUCGUACUGAUCAUAAAACUUUAUUUAAAAAACAUAAAAUUAUAUGCAUAAUGUAGAGUUUGCAAAGCUAAAUUUGAAACUGAAAUUCGUUUUAAAAUCAGAUUAUGCAUUGCAGAGAUAUCGGGGUUUAAAUAUUGAUUUUUCUGGAAAUUUUGAUUCCUCUUUAUUGGCUUAAAAAUAGUGCAAAAUUCACACUGAAAGUAACUCCUGCUGAAACCAUUUCGUACAGGUCAUAAAACCGAACUCCUUUUUUAUAUAGUUAAUCAGAUUGUUUAUUGAAACGAUUUCGUUAAUUGGGUCGAUAAUUACGUUGUUAGUUUUUAUAAGUCUUAUUAGUUUUAAUCGAAAUAAUUAUCGUACGAUUCACCAUGUUAACUCGUCAUGUUUUGACUGCGAACAACAGCAGGGCUGCGUUCAAGAUCGUAGCGGCUAGGUAGGGCUAUGUAGCGGCUACGUUGUUGAACGGUAUGCUAGCCUAGCCGCUAGGUAGAUAUUUGUAGCCUAAAUAUUUUAUGCUAAGCAUCGAAUUCAAGAUGGCCACCUUAGUUACCACUUUGUAACAAACACGAAAUCUUUUUAUAUAGUGAUAUUUUAUUCAUCCUUUAAGUUAUAAUGAAUCUUAACAUAUAUAUUCCGCUUGAAAUUAACAAAUUAUGUAAAUGUAAUAAGUCUUCAGUUGAAUAUUUCCAACUUCAAAUCUGAGACCUAGCGGCUAACCUAGCGGUCCGUUCAAUAGACCUAGAUAUCUACGACCUAGCGGCUAGGCUAGCAGCUACGAUCUUGAACGCAGCCCUGAUAGCGGUGUGUCAGAAGAAUGGCCUGCAAGACGUCGAUAGUGGAAAUUUCAGCUCAACUAACGUAUGACAGAUUAUAAAGGUAUGUUUCAAUACAGAAUAUGUCGUAUUGACUUUUUCUUUUCAAAGUGUUUGCACUUUUCAAUCUAAUCCGACAUUCCUCUGACUCUAACCUCGGCUUUUGACGUGCGUAACAAUAUAAAAGCGGGCAUUUGAGUCAGAGAAAUCUCGGAAUAUUAUCUGUCCAGUGUUAUUUUCACAUGUAUGUUUUGCACACCACUCUUUUGAAUUUCUAUUUAUUAUUAUGUAUAUGUAUUUCUUAUUUUGUAUUGAACAAUACACCACACACUGUAAACAUUGCAAUUAAAAGGGAUGGGGGUCCUAAGGCACACAAGAGUAGAAUGUUGUAAUUAGAGUGCAUGUUUGCAUGAUGAUAACUUUACCCUAAAUAUUUGAAUAUAGCAGAUCUUUACCAUAUCACCUCCACUUAGUUAAUGAAUUAAAAAACUCAGACAGGCUUGUGCUUAAUUAAAUAAAUAUAUUUGACAUAGUAAAUAUUCAAUCUAAUUAAAAUUUGAACUUUCGUCUGGCUCGCCGUUAUAAAUGAUUAUCGCCUGUGAAAGAGCAUGUAAAACAGAGUGCAAGAUGAAAAGAACUUUAAGUUCAGAUUUUAGGUUAAUGUUCCCUGAUAUCUAUAAAACAUUCUUCUCAAGAUUUGAUUAUUUCACAGAACCAUUGUAAUUUCUUUGAGAUUAGUUUAUCUUUUAUAUAUAUUGAAUUUUAUUGAUUCAUUUUAGGUAAACUUAACAUCCAGAACACAUCUACAUUGUAAACAAUAUUUACGCUAUUGGUGGCCACAUGGUUUUUACCUGUUGAUUCUUUUCAGCUCUUGAGGUUAAACUGUCACCUCUACCCACAUGCAUAUUCCUCAAUGUGUUCUACAGACUAUUUACCAGUAAUUCAAAUUAAAUCAGAUAAUUCAUGAACAGUUACUGUAAUGGAACUUUAAGAAAGCAUCAUGCCUUGUUGUGGUUUGUGUUUGAUAACAGAUUAUAACAAACAAAAUUAAGGCUGUUUAAAGUAAUGUACAAUUGUUAGCUGUGAAAAUUUGUUUUUCAAUAAAAGUAUGCAAUUAUG